Molecule: non-coding RNA, 204 nt
Organism: Vicia faba (fava bean)
Lineage: Eukaryota; Viridiplantae; Streptophyta; Magnoliopsida; Fabales; Fabaceae
Source: the annotation of a GenBank genome assembly
AUGUUCUCGCUUAUAAACUCAUGCUCGCCGAAGCCUCUGAAGUGCAGAAGGAAAGAAUAUAAUGUUAACGUGGUAAAAAUAGUACAUGGUACAAUCAAUGUUUCAUUUCACUACCAUGAAAGGACGGACGUGUCGCACGAUCUUGUCCCCCACAUUACUGUUCAAGCUGCCAAUGUUUCUGGAAAUCCCAAGAGUACCCCUUAA